CUGUGAGGUGAUGUUGUCAUCCCUCCCUCUGGAAGGUAUAGAGAGACCCUGUUUUCUCAACUCUGGGGCAUAGAAAGUCCCCAGGAAGGUGUCACUCUGGGCAUGAAUGCCAUGACUCUGUCCUCUGGGCCCUCCCCACCCCCAGGGGCUUUUGCUGGCAGGGUCCGGAGGUCUCACAUUUCAGUCUGUUAACCACAAGCCAUCUCUCUCCCACCCAAGCCAAUGGCAGCCCCACCUCAGGCCUGAGCACUGGGGCCAUCGUGGGCAUCCUCAUCGUCAUCUUCGUCCUGCUGCUGGUGGUUGUGGACAUCACCUGCUACUUCCUGAACAAGUGUGGCCUGUUCAUGUGCAUUGCGGUCAACCUGUGUGGAAAAGCCGGGCCCGGGGCCAAGGGCAAGGACAUGGAGGAGGGCAAGGCCGCCUUCUCGAAAGAUGAGUCCAAGGAGCCCAUAGUGGAGGUUCGAACGGAGGAGGAGCGGACCCCAAACCAUGAUGGAGGGAAACACACAGAGCCCAACGAGACCACGCCACUGACGGAGCCCGAGAAGGGCCCUGUAGAA
This 560-nucleotide small RNA is filed under the name Pongo abelii (Sumatran orangutan). RNAcentral describes it as "retained intron". The record is from RNAcentral. Lineage: Eukaryota; Metazoa; Chordata; Mammalia; Primates; Hominidae.